RNAcentral lists this ribosomal RNA (253 nucleotides) under uncultured bacterium. RNAcentral describes it as "partial 16S ribosomal RNA". It matches the Rfam family "Bacterial small subunit ribosomal RNA", at positions 524 to 776 of the family's 1533-position model. The record is from RNAcentral.
UACGGAGGGUGCAAGCGUUGUUCGGAUUUACUGGGCGUAAAGAGUGCGUAGGCGGUCCUGUAAGUUUGGUGUGAAAUCUCCCGGCUCAACUGGGAGGGUGCGCCGAAGACUGCAGGGCUUGAGUAUGGGAGAGGUAAGCGGAAUUCCUGGUGUAGCGGUGAAAUGCGUAGAUAUCAGGAGGAACACCUGUGGUGUAGACAGCUUACUGGACCAUAACUGACGCUGAGGCACGAAAGCGUGGGUAGCAAACAGG